GAUAAACAAGAGUUGCAGAGAAAAAUAAUGUAAAAAAAAUGGAGUCGAGGAAGAAGCAAGAAGAAGAAGAAAGAAAGAUCCCCUUUUUUCCUGCCCCUCCUGUUUCUGCUAUGGUGCUACCUGUCUAUGUCACUCAGGCCCAUGCAUAUGGGCGUGUCAGACCCCCUCUCCACGCUAGGCGGCCAUUUAAUUCCCUCAGCGCACAUGCGAGCAGGGCUGCGAAUUGACUGGACCAACUCCUCUCCCUCACAUCACAUCACCGGGCUGGGCUUCUUCCUGCUGGGUUUGGGCUCGUGGGUAAUCCAUCUGGCCCGGCACGUCUGGGUCGAGACCUGAGAUGCUGAGUUGGUCAGCCUAAGGAGGGCUUGAUGGGAUUUGGGCCAUUGUUCUCCUCUUGGGUCCGGCCUCGCCCAGAGUAGAGGAAGGCCAACGGUCAUCAGUCAUCAUAGAGCCCAAGAUGCCAACAUUGCUCUCAGGCUGUCAUUAUUUUAUUUUAUCACACCUAAGAUGCUACUAUUAUCUACAGGGAACAUGUUAUGAGUGUAUGCAGAUUUUAUUUUUUACAUUUAUGAUAUUUGGAUUUAUUAUCCAGC
Molecule: long non-coding RNA, 593 nt
Filed under: Manihot esculenta (cassava)
Lineage: Eukaryota; Viridiplantae; Streptophyta; Magnoliopsida; Malpighiales; Euphorbiaceae
Description: long non-coding RNA (MESC_LNC005911)
Source: RNAcentral